Pangasius djambal is the source of this 73-nucleotide non-coding RNA. The record is from the annotation of a GenBank genome assembly. Lineage: Eukaryota; Metazoa; Chordata; Actinopteri; Siluriformes; Pangasiidae.
GCCUGGCUAGCUCAGUUGGUAGCGCAUGGGACUCUUGCUCUCAGGUUUGUGGUUUUAAGCCCAUCACAGGGUA